UUGGUACAGAUGCUUUGAUUGGGGAGGGAUCAUAUGGCAGUGGGUACUAUGGGCUUCUAAAAAGUGGCAGGCUGCAGCUAUUGAGAAGUUAGACGCAAGCAAGCAACCUGAUGAUGAAUUCUUAGCCCAGGUUUGGGAUGACAGCCGGUAUCAAUUGUAGACUCUCUCUUUAUUUAUUUAUUUUUUUUUUCAGCUGAUGUAAAGCUUGGCAGGUUUCCAUGGUGUUGAGACUGAAACAUGAAAAUUUUGUCAAAUUGCUUGGUUAUUGUGUUGAUGGAAAUUCCCGUGUUCUCACCUACGAGUUUGCAUCUAAUGGCUCUCUCCAUGACAUCCUCCAUGGUCGAAAAGGAGUUAAAGGGGCACUGCCUGGUCCUGUUCUUUCUUGGGAACAGCGAGUAAAGAUUGCAGUAGGGGCUGCUAAAGGACUCGAGUACCUGCAUGAAAAAGCUGAACCUAGAGUAAUCCAUUGUGAUAUUAAGUCCAGCAGUGUCUUAAUAUUCGAUGAUGACAUUGCAAAGAUAGCUGAUUUUGAUUUGUCCAACAAAGCUCCUGAUAUGGCAGCCCGGCUCCAUUCAACUCGUGUUCUUUGCACUUUUGGUUAUCAUGCUCCCGAGUAAGCUACUUUUGGUUCUCACAAUUUAUCAUAUCCGACACACAUGCGCAUGCUUGCGCUCCUAUCUUGAUAACUCAGUUUAUCAUGUUAUUAGUAUAAAGUAUUUUCUGGAAAGCUUUUUGUUUUUUGCUGUCCUACUCUAGUGACUCAACCUCAUUAUCCUUAUUGUAUAGUGGAGAAUGACAUUUUAUAAAUAUCUUUUAUUUGUCUUGACGACAGAGUAACACAAACAUUGACCUCGAUGAAUGUUUGCGGGAGAAAAUGAGAACUUCGUUGCAGUAGGUAGUGUUUUGUAUAAACUUCUCUUUGGGCCAGCUCAUAUGAUCCAAAUCACAUGGAGCCUUUUCUCAAGCAGAGUUAUGCAUCGUAAUCCUUGCCAUGAGCAACUUUUGAUAACACCUUCUUAUGGGGCCAAUAUGCAAUGACUGGACAGCUAAGUGCCAAAAGUGAUGUAUAUAGUUUUGGUGUUGUUCUGCUGGAGCUUCUGACUGCGCGGAAACCUGUGGAUCAUACAUUACUAAGGGGGCAGCAGAGUCUUGUUACAUGGGCUACACCUAAGCUGAGUGAAGACAAAGAUAGGCAGUGUGUGGAUGCAAGACUUGGAGGCGAAUACCCUCCAAAGGCAGUUGCAAAGGUAAUGCUUCAACUUACCAUGUUAAUAUGCUUUUACUCAUGAGCGCACGAUCUCUCAGUCAGUCGUCAGUUGUCCAGAUAAAUUUCUUAUCAUUGCUAAUCAUUCUGUGAUUUCCAUAUCAACAUAUUAGAUGAAUUGAUGGACCAGUGGCAGACUUAACGCAUUUUAGGCUAAGAGAUUCUACUAUAGAACUUCUCUUUCCUGUAAAACAAGAUGAAUGUUAUAUAGGCAAUAAAAUGUGCUCCAGAAUUUAGGUUGCUGUUGCUUUUCAUUUGCCCUUUCCAGGAAAUUGAACUCUAGAUUUUGGUGUUUGUAGAGAAAUUUAAGUAUGUCGCUAAUAUAGCAGUAAAAGUUCUGGGAUCCUCUACAUUUUGACGCCUCAUUUUCAUGAGAUCUUAAUUGUAGAGAGCCACUUCUUAGAAUAUAUAUCUGC
Molecule: RNA transcript, 1680 nt
Organism: Rhodamnia argentea
Lineage: Eukaryota; Viridiplantae; Streptophyta; Magnoliopsida; Myrtales; Myrtaceae
Gene name: probable receptor-like protein kinase At2g47060
Exons: 3
Source: RefSeq, a predicted model, not a curated record